RNAcentral lists this ribosomal RNA (436 nucleotides) under uncultured bacterium. Its description in RNAcentral is "bacterial SSU rRNA". It matches the Rfam family "Bacterial small subunit ribosomal RNA", at positions 954 to 1392 of the family's 1533-position model. The record is from RNAcentral.
AUGGGAACGCGAAGAACCUUACCUAGACUUGACAUCUCCUGAAUAGUGUAGAGAUACAUGAAGCCCUUCGGGGCAGGAAGACAGGUGGUGCAUGGUUGUCGUCAGCUCGUGUCGUGAGAUGUUGGGUUAAGUCCCGCAACGAGCGCAACCCUUAUUACUAGUUGCUACCAUUAAGUUGAGCACUCUAGUGAGACUGCCCGGGUUAACCGGGAGGAAGGCGGGGAUGACGUCAAAUCAUCAUGCCCCUUAUGUCUAGGGCAACACACGUGCUACAAUGGUGAGUACAGAUAGAUGCGAUACCGCAAGGUGGAGCCAAACUCUAAAACUCACCCCAGUUCGGAUUGUAGGCUGCAACUCGCCUACAUGAAGUUGGAGUUGCUAGUAAUCGCGAAUCAGAAUGUCGCGGUGAAUACGUUCCCGGGUCUUGUACACACCG